CCCUUAGAUGUUCUGGGCCGCACGCGUGCUACACUGAGUGGAUCAGCGGGUCAGGUUGCGCGAAAGCGUUUCCUAAUCUUUAAAUCCGCUCGUGAUGGGGAUUGACGGUUGCAAUUUUCUGUCAUGAACGAGGAAUACCUUGUAAGCGCGGGUCAUCAUCCCGCGCUGAAUACGUCCCUUCCCUUUGUACACACCGCCCGUCGCUCCUACCGAUUGAGUGGUCCGGUGAGGCUUUGGGAUCUGAGCGGAAAGAGCGUUUCGCUGUUUCUGCUCGGAAAACUCAGUCGAACCUUAUCAUUUAGAGGAAGGAGAAGUCGUAACA
This 322-nucleotide ribosomal RNA is filed under the name uncultured eukaryote. RNAcentral describes it as "partial 18S ribosomal RNA". It matches the Rfam family "Eukaryotic small subunit ribosomal RNA", at positions 1470 to 1796 of the family's 1831-position model. The record is from RNAcentral.